CGUGUAGGCGGCCUUUUAAGUCAGAUGUGAAAUCUCAGGGCUUAACCCUGAAACUGCAUUUGAAACUGGAGGGCUUGAGGAUCGGAGAGGGCAGUGGAAUUCCCAGUGUAGCGGUGAAAUGCGUAGAUAUUGGGAGGAACACCAGUGGCGAAGGCGACUGCCUGGACGACACCUGACGCUGAGGCGCGAAAGCUAGGGGAGCGAACGGGAUUAGAUACCCCGGUAGUCCUAGCCGUAAACGAUGGGUACUAGGUGUGGGAGGUAUCGACCCCUUCCGUGCCGCAGUUAACACAAUAAGUACCCCGCCUGGGGAGUACGGCCGCAAGGUUGAA
Molecule: ribosomal RNA, 332 nt
Filed under: uncultured Clostridium sp.
Lineage: Bacteria; Bacillati; Bacillota; Clostridia; Eubacteriales; Clostridiaceae
Description: bacterial SSU rRNA
Rfam family: Bacterial small subunit ribosomal RNA
Source: RNAcentral